UGAACGCUGGCGGAAUGCUUUACACAUGCAAGUCGAACGGCAGCACGGGGGCAACCCUGGUGGCGAGUGGCGAACGGGUGAGUAAUAUAUCGGAACGUGCCCAGUCGUGGGGGAUAACGUAGCGAAAGUUACGCUAAUACCGCAUACGAUCUACGGAUGAAAGCGGGGGAUCGCAAGACCUCGCGCGAUUGGAGCGGCCGAUAUCAGAUUAGGUAGUUGGUGGGGUAAAGGCUCACCAAGCCAACGAUCUGUAGCUGGUCUGAGAGGACGACCAGCCACACUGGAACUGAGACACGGUCCAGACUCCUACGGGAGGCAGCAGUGGGGAAUUUUGGACAAUGGACGCAAGUCUGAUCCAGCCAUUCCGCGUGCAGGAUGAAGGCCCUCGGGUUGUAAACUGCUUUUGUACGGAACGAAAAGGUUUCUAUUAAUACUAGGAGCUCAUGACGGUACCGUAAGAAUAAGCACCGGCUAACUACGUGCCAGCAG
RNAcentral lists this ribosomal RNA (489 nucleotides) under uncultured bacterium. Its description in RNAcentral is "bacterial SSU rRNA". It matches the Rfam family "Bacterial small subunit ribosomal RNA", at positions 30 to 514 of the family's 1533-position model. The record is from RNAcentral.